RNAcentral lists this ribosomal RNA (403 nucleotides) under uncultured bacterium. RNAcentral's name for it is "partial 16S ribosomal RNA". It matches the Rfam family "Bacterial small subunit ribosomal RNA", at positions 28 to 526 of the family's 1533-position model. The record is from RNAcentral.
GACGAACGCUGGCGGCGUGCCUAAUACAUGCAAGUCGAACGCAGUGGGGACGGGUGAGUAACACGUGGGUAACCUCCCAUCAGAGGGGAUAACACUUGGAAACAGGUGCUAAACCGAUACUGGAGGAUGGACCCGCGGUGCAUUAGCUAGUUGGUGGGGUAACGGUGCACCAAGGCCACGAUGCAUAGCCGACCUGAGAGGGUGAACGGCCACACUGGAACUGAGACACGGCCCAGACUCCUACGGGAGGCAACAGUAUGAAAUCUCAGGCAAUGGAAGAAAGUCUGACCGAGCAAAGCUGCGUGAGCGAAGAAGGUUUUCGGAUCGUAAAACUCUGUUGUUAGAGAAGCGGUAUCUAACCAGAAAGCCACGGCUAACUACGUGCCAGCAGCCGCGGUAAUUC